This 28-nucleotide transfer RNA is filed under the name Sceloporus woodi. Its description in RNAcentral is "partial tRNA-Met". RNAcentral also lists the same sequence under 6 other names. The record is from RNAcentral. Lineage: Eukaryota; Metazoa; Chordata; Lepidosauria; Squamata; Phrynosomatidae.
AGUAAAGUCAGCUAACAAAGCUAUUGGG